GUAACCUGCAAUUCUGGCAGCAUGAUUCCUCUCAUCUUUGUCUUGCUGGCCGCCUUCGAGGCCACAAGCUUGGAUCGGCCUGGCCAUUCUGUGCUUACACCUCCAAUCCUGGCAUAAUAGGCAUUGUCAUAGCACCUGCAAGAUUGAGUGGAUUAUAGAUCAAAUUUCAAUGGUGUUUCAAGAUAAGCUUGCAUGAACAAUCUGCCGAAACUAUACCGCUGGUACUCACUCAUCAUCCAAGAACUUUGCAGCUACCAUGAUGCUUGUGAUCAGAAGACGGUGUACAUUCAGGGAGGUAAGA
This is a long non-coding RNA of Populus euphratica (Euphrates poplar), 301 nucleotides long. RefSeq lists it as uncharacterized. The record is from RefSeq and is a predicted model, not a curated record. The transcript is spliced from 3 exons. NCBI's taxonomy places the organism in Eukaryota, Viridiplantae, Streptophyta, Magnoliopsida, Malpighiales, Salicaceae.